Molecule: non-coding RNA, 71 nt
Organism: Actinomortierella wolfii
Lineage: Eukaryota; Fungi; Mortierellomycota; Mortierellomycetes; Mortierellales; Mortierellaceae
Source: the annotation of a GenBank genome assembly
AGGAAAUUAACUUAACGGUAGAGUGUUUUACUUACAAUAAAAUGGUGAAAGUUCGAUUCUUUCAUUUCCUA